AUCGUUCAUCUUCUGACCGCCGCCGCAAGACAGCCAGAGGACGGAAGUAGGGGACUCCUGAAGGAACGCACA
Molecule: non-coding RNA, 72 nt
Filed under: Limnothrix rosea
Lineage: Bacteria; Bacillati; Cyanobacteriota; Cyanophyceae; Pseudanabaenales; Pseudanabaenaceae
Also listed under: 1 other name
Description: Glutamine-I sequence
Rfam family: Glutamine riboswitch aptamer (glnA leader)
Source: RNAcentral